Molecule: ribosomal RNA, 326 nt
Filed under: uncultured bacterium
Lineage: Bacteria
Description: bacterial SSU rRNA
Rfam family: Bacterial small subunit ribosomal RNA
Source: RNAcentral
GAUGAACGCUGGCGGCGUGCUUAACACAUGCAAGUCGAACGAAGCGCUGAAAGCGGAUUACUUCGGUUUGAAGCUUUCUUUGACUGAGUGGCGGACGGGUGAGUAACGCGUGGGUAACCUGCCUCAUACAGGGGGAUAACAGUUAGAAAUGACUGCUAAUACCGCAUAAGCGCACGAAACCGCAUGGUUUUGUGUGAAAAACUCCGGUGGUAUGAGAUGGACCCGCGUCUGAUUAGCUGGUUGGCGGGGUAACGGCCCACCAAGGCGACGAUCAGUAGCCGGCCUGAGAGGGUGAACGGCCACAUUGGGACUGAGACACGGCCCAA